Molecule: long non-coding RNA, 453 nt
Organism: Triticum dicoccoides
Lineage: Eukaryota; Viridiplantae; Streptophyta; Magnoliopsida; Poales; Poaceae
Exons: 2
Source: RefSeq, a predicted model, not a curated record
ACCACCUAGAUCCAGAUUAGAAAGAAGCUCCAGCAUCUCCUCAUGGCAAUCCUCGGCAAGAGUACUAGUGUUGUGUGCCUCAUAGCCCUAGUGCUCAUGGCCACCGUUCUCUCCUCACGUGCCUUCUACCAUGGAUGCGACAUCGGUCCAUUUCCCGGGGAAAAAUGUCCCGAGCUAUGUGAAAAAGCAUGCGGUAAGCCCGGCGCUUGCUCAUCAGACGGUCCCGAGUCUUACUGUUGCUGUGAACCAGUACGCCAAGAUGGAUCCAUGAGGCCUCAGGAGGUUACUGAAAUGAUACAAACAUAGUGUCAUGGAUCACCAGAACCAUGUCGAAUAAAUGUGCUAGGUCUUGUUGAACUUGUAUUGAAUUUGAUAGUAUCGUGUGUUCCUCGGUUGGAUCGAAUGAACUUGUAUAUAUUCCCCAUUUAAUAAACUUUGUUUUUGUUGGCCCCA